UUUUGGAGUACAUUGACUCAUUCUCGUGUUGAUUUUUUACAGAGAUACUGGAACACUCAGUCAAUUAUUUCCAUCCAAUUCUAGAAGGUCAAGGUAUGAUUAUAUUUUGUCGAAUAUUUGCAUAAGAGAAACAAGUAUGUCACUUGGUUCUUUGAUACUCACAAAACCACCAAAAACUCAAGAGCCACUCUUAUUUCAAAAAGCUGCAGCCUGCUUUCCCAUCAAACCUGCAUCUCUC
Molecule: long non-coding RNA, 238 nt
Filed under: Capsicum annuum
Lineage: Eukaryota; Viridiplantae; Streptophyta; Magnoliopsida; Solanales; Solanaceae
Description: long non-coding RNA (CANN_LNC002487)
Source: RNAcentral